AGGGUGGAAUGUCUGGAAAUUACCGGUUGUUUUUUUUUUUGCGGCCUGAUGGAGAUUCUGGGAUUUGUAGUUCUUUACACGUUGACCGCGUAGUGAAAUUGGAGGAAGAGAACUACAACUCCCACUGCUACGUGACCCGCUUUGGUUGACAGCCAGGAGUGCCUUUCUUUUGACACAAACAAAAGAAUAAUACACAGUGUGAGUCGUGGAAAGUACAACAUGCCUUUGAGAAGGAGAAGAGACAGCGUGUACUGGCAGCCUGCUGUAGUCCUUCACACCAUCCCACAUGUUGGUUUAUCUGCAUCUCUGCUGUACUAUUCUAUAUCUAGGCAUGUUUACAUUUGUGGGAAAUCCCACACAGUGGCUGUUGUGUUUGCAUAAGUUCUAAAGUAGAAGGUACUGCGUCCUCUGACCUUGCCAAACAGUAUGAGACACUUUGUACUUUUUUUUUGUAAAUGUCUGCAUGUUGCCAGGCUGAUAACACAUGGCUGAAUCGAAUACAUGCAUUCAUACAGACUUAAUGCUUCUAUAAGGUCAAAGUUAUGCACACCCUUGUCUUAUGACUGUCUGAAGUUAGCUGGAAAAUGCAGUUAUCUGGAAGUGUCACUACAGGGUUGGUCAAUGUUUAAAGGCCUCAUAAAAUGAGAUCACUUAUUUGUUAUAUAAAAGGUCAUUAAUGUAUAGUACAACUCAAUUUCUUUUUUUUUGUCACUGUAAAUAUAUUUAUAAUAUAAAGCAUUCCCAUUUUAAAGUCCAUUAUAUAUUCCGUUUAAUUUCCAUUAUACUGUUUUCAACAUGUCAUAAGUAGCACGGGUAUAUGUGUAGCAAUAGGCAACAGCAUACUAUAUGGAUCUUUUAUGCCAAAAUCUUUAGGAUUUUAAGUAAAGAUCAUGUUCCAUGAAGAUAUUUUUUUUAAAGUUCCUACCGUAAAUAUAUCAAAACUUAGUUUGAUUAAUAUUAUGCAUUGCUAAGAACUUCAUUUGGACAACUUUAAAGAUGCUUUUUAUCAAUAUUUUUAUUUUAUUUAUAUUUUUUUAUUUAUUUAUUUUUGCACCCCCAGAUUCCAGAUUUUGAAGUAGUUGCAUCUGUGCCAAAUAUCAUCCUAUCCUAUGUUAUAUGGUGUAUAAAUAUUCAUAGUGAAGAUUGGAGCAGUGAUGCUUAAAAACUCAGCUUUACCUCAUAGAAAUAAAUUU
Long non-coding RNA from Labeo rohita (rohu), 1193 nucleotides. RefSeq lists it as uncharacterized. The transcript has 2 exons. NCBI's taxonomy places the organism in Eukaryota, Metazoa, Chordata, Actinopteri, Cypriniformes, Cyprinidae. The record is from RefSeq and is a predicted model, not a curated record.